GACGAACGCUGGCGGCGUGCCUAAUACAUGCAAGUCGAACGCAUUUUCUUUCACCGUAGCUUGCUACACCGAAAGAAAAUGAGUGGCGAACGGGUGAGUAACACGUGGGUAACCUGCCCAUCAGCGGGGGAUAACACUUGGAAACAGGUGCUAAUACCGCAUAAUUCCAUUUACUGCAUGGUAGAUGGAUGAAAGGCGCUUUUGCGUCACUGAUGGAUGGACCCGCGGUGCAUUAGCUAGUUGGUGGGGUAACGGCCUACCAAGGCUGCGAUGCAUAGCCGACCUGAGAGGGUGAUCGGCCACACUGGGACUGAGACACGGCCCAGACUCCUACGGGAGGCAGCAGUAGGGAAUCUUCGGCAAUGGACGCAAGUCUGACCGAGCAACGCCGCGUGAGUGAAGAAGGUUUUCGGAUCGUAAAAUUCUGUUGUUAGAAAAGAACAAGGAUGAGAGUGGAAAGUUCAUCCCUUGACGGUAUCUAACCAGAAAGCCACGGCUAACUACGUG
RNAcentral lists this ribosomal RNA (507 nucleotides) under uncultured bacterium. RNAcentral describes it as "partial 16S ribosomal RNA". It matches the Rfam family "Bacterial small subunit ribosomal RNA", at positions 28 to 507 of the family's 1533-position model. The record is from RNAcentral.